This is an RNA transcript of Sarcophilus harrisii (Tasmanian devil), 2413 nucleotides long. It is a transcript of the gene named PRELI domain containing 3A, with no coding region annotated. The transcript has 7 exons. NCBI's taxonomy places the organism in Eukaryota, Metazoa, Chordata, Mammalia, Dasyuromorphia, Dasyuridae. The record is from RefSeq and is a predicted model, not a curated record.
CGUGAGAGGGGAAAAAAAGGAAGAGAGUGCACUUAGAAUCCCGAAUUCGCCUGUGCCCCAGGGCUGGAAACUGCUGGAUCCAGAACCAGAGAAGGAUGCCUCCCUUGGGCUGCACAAAUACCCAGGGACGCUCAGAAACGGUGCGCAUGACGCAGAUGCCAUGACUGCCCCUUGGGCCCUCGGAUCUGAGUGAGUGACAAGUGUUCCAGGCCCGGUGCAGGAGAGUAGUGUGCUGGAGAGUAGGGCAGCCUCGCACAGUUCGGCGGGUUCUGCGCGGAGAGGUAUCUCUCCGGGCUCCGAAGCUGCUGCCCUGCACAGAGACUAAAGAGCGCCUCUGGUCCCUGUAGCUGCAGCGGGGGAAAGAUGAAGAUCUGGAGCUCCGAGCACGUGUUUGGCCACCCAUGGGACACUGUCAUCAAAGCUGCUAUGAGAAAAUAUCCAAAUCCUAUGAACCCUUGUGUAGUAGGAGUGGAUGUGUUAGACAGGAACCUUGAUAACCAGGGAAGGUUACAUAGCCAUCGUCUUCUCAGCACAGAGUGGGGACUUCCAACUCUUGUGAAAGCGGUCUUGGGAACCAAUAGGACUUUGACAUAUAUUCAAGAACAUUCUGUUGUAGAUCCAGUGGGGAAAAAAAUGGAGCUAUGUUCUACUAAUAUCACGCUCACAAAUUUGGUGUUGGUGAAUGAGAGGUUGGUGUACACACCUCAUCCUGACAACCCUGAAAUGACGGUGCUGACACAUGAAGCAGUCAUCACUGUGAAGGGAUUUAGCUUAGGCAGCUACUUGGAAAGCUUAAUGGCAAACACCAUAUCAUCCAAUGCACGGAAGGGGUGGGCUGCUAUUGAGUGGAUAAUUCAAAAUUCUGAAAGUGCUGUAAGCUAACUGCAUCCAAACACCUACCAUUUGGGAUAAAUAGUGGUAACUACAGCAUUAUUGACCCUGGGUCGAGAUGCCUUGGAAUGGGUGAUCAGCAGACUUAAUACAGAAUUUGAGGAACUAGCAGCAGCACCUUGACAAAGCAUGCAACAAAGCAAAAACAGCAGCAGCCUCAAGAUGUCAAAGCAAUGAGGACAUGCAGAAAUCUACCUAGGCAAGGGUGUGUUUUUCCCUACUAAGUGCCAUCUUGAGCUGAUAUGCAAUUUGGGGCUCUACUUGAUUCAUCAGACCUUCAGCUAUUAAUAGACACCUAGAAAACAAUUAUGAGUUGAAUUAGGAAAUUAAUUAUAAAGGAAGUUGUGAAUUAACCAUAUGAAUGAAUAUAGUGGGAAUUGCAAGAAGGGUCAUUUUAUUUUCUGAGAAAAGGUAACCUUUUUUUACCAAAUGAGUAAAUGUGAAUCUUUGAUUCCCCUUCCCCACUCUCACCCUCCUCCCCCCCCAGGUUAAAAAUAAUAUUAAAUUGGAAUUAAGAUUUCAAAAACUGUGACCAAAAAAGACAUAUUCUCUGUGAAUCCUCAAAUUAGAAUUUCCUCACAUUAUAAAACAAUAUUUCCUUAAAGUCUCUGCUUAAAUCUUUGAAGUUCACUGCAAUAAUAGACUGAAAUAUUUCCUUUGAUCAAAGGAGAAAAAAUUCAUUUUCUUUGACGAGAACAGGGGUUUUUAACUUUAUUGCUCACAGAUUUUUUUGGCAGUCUGUUGAAGCUUAUAGAGCCCUUCUCAGAAAAAUGUUUUUAAUGCAUCAAAUAAAAUAUUUAAGAUUACAAAGGAAACCAAUUAUUUUGAAAUACAUUUUUAAAAAACCAACUUUUUAAAAAGUUUUCCAAUUAAGAAUACUUGGAUUAAAGGAGCAUUGACAAAGCACAACUGAAUAUUGCUGCAGAUGGGUUAUAUGAUUGUAAGAUCUUGGCACUCCUCAGAAGGCACAUAUUUACCUGUCAGUAUUUACUGUCCUUACAUAUCCUGCAUCCAUGUUACAUGUACAACAAAUUUAGAGGGAAUUUGAGAAAUAGAUCUUGGCUAUAAUUACAUAAUUAAUAACUUGAAUGACAUCCUUAUUUUAAACUAAUAUUUGGAAAUGGUAAUGGGGAUAUAUCUUCCUAAUUUAUGUUUAUUGUUAACUAAUAAAAUCAACAAAGCUGUUUGAGAUACUUUAAGGAGAAAUAACUAUUUUUCUAGGAUAUUCUUUGCUUUAGGUAUGUGAUGUUUUUUUUUCUUUAUCUUCAUCAGUUUUUCUGUCUCUGUUUCUAUUUGCCUCUGCCCGUUUGUCUGUCUUUCUUUAAAAAAAAGAAAAAAAAAAAAAAAAAAAAGAAGUUUCCCCAUCUGUCUCACUGGAAUUUCAGGAGUUCUCGAGGGCCUGAUUUCACUGUAGAUUGGCCUGGGAACUUUGAUCUGGUCUUUUACCAAUCUGGGUCAUAUCUCCUUUCUUUUUGUUGUUGUUUGGUUGUUUCAGCUGUGUCUGAGAAACUAUUUGGCAUUU